Molecule: long non-coding RNA, 1857 nt
Filed under: Equus caballus (horse)
Lineage: Eukaryota; Metazoa; Chordata; Mammalia; Perissodactyla; Equidae
Description: lncRNA (ENSECAG00000054915.1)
Source: RNAcentral
CAGACAGGAGCAGAUGGUGUGGCCGUGGGGCCUGCAAUGGGCCUCACUGAGGCCUGAGCUGAGAGAAGGAAACAUCCUGGAGAAGCUGAGACUUCAAGGAAGAGUCGCUUUCCUGGUGAACCCUUGAGGGAGGACCUUCCAGGCAGAGGUGGGGAAACCAGCUUUGCCUUUCUCCUAGCUCUACUGAGCUCCCGUCUUACUUCUACUCUACACCAGGACAGAGUCCACCUGACACUUCUGAAUGACGGGACGUCCUUCAUCUUCUGCUGGAGAUUUAGAGACAGACUUCCAACAAGGAAAGCCAGGCCUCUGGCCAAGGACACCCCUGAACACAGAGCAGAGAGGAGCCGAAACAGGACACUGAAGACAUCCAGGCCGCCCAGACCCACAGACUGCGCCCCGACCCUACCUCCCCUGCAGUUAGUGCAGGAGGAUGAGACAGAGCAAGGUCACCCAUCAGGAUGCUGUCUCUCUAGCGCCCUCUGCCGGGUUCUCAUGAGAAGACCCCCUUGACAGGAGGAGACAAGGAGUCGUUGCAAGGAGCCAGACAGACAGGUGGUGAAGGACAGCGCUGGACAGGUGUGAGACUGCUCUAUGAGGCCAUUCAUCUCAUAAAUAGUUGCUGAGUACCAAAGACGUGCCGGGCGCUAUUCCAGUGCCAGGGAUAUGAACGGAUGAGACAAGGCCUUCCGGUGGAGCAAGCAUCCUGGGUGAUCGCAGAGAGAGAAUAAACAAAUACAUAGCGUCGGCAGUAAAAAGCGCUACACGUAGAGAAACAAAACAGAAUAAGAGAUAGGAAGUGAUGCAAAUGGGACUCAAAAUAGGGCACUCAGGGAAGGCCUUAUGAGGAAGUGACCUUUGGGCGAAGAUCUAAAUAAAGCGAGGGAGUGAAGUGUGCAGAUCUCGGAAGGAAGAAUUUUCGGGCAGAGGGGAAGCGAAGGCCAAGGCCCUGAGACGGGAAGAUCCAAGAGAGGCUUUCAAAGCUUACAGUGGAGGAGAAAUGGCUUGUUUGAGACGAGGAAAGAGGCGGAACAAGGGAAGUAACUUGCCUGAGGUCACAUGGCUUGUCAGUGUCACAGGGCAAGAUUCCAUUCCAGGACUCCCGGAUUCCAGCAUCUCUGCUCCUAACCAGCCAAUCCUUGCUGUCUUCUCCUGCUGGCACCGACUCCGCUAAGAAACAGAAGGUUCAAGAUGGCGACACAGGAAGAUCCUGAACUCGCCUCCCCCACAGACACACUGAAUCUACAGCUGCAUAUGGAGCAAUUUCCUCUCAAAAAAACCCUAAAAUCUAGUGGAAAGACUCCUUCGUAUUAGGGAAAUGAGAAAACAAAAAACAAAAAAACAUUGAUGCGAGUAGGAAAGGCUGAGAUAGUCUCACCAUAACCCGCCCUCCCCCCCAGCCACACACAGUGACCCAUAGCCCGAGUGAACUUAAAACCCAGAGCUUCUCCCUGAGGAGCGAAAGGUUUGUACUCCACAUCGGGCACCCCAGCUUUUAAGACCUGCACCUGAGAGAUGAGCCCCCAACACAUCCAGCUUUGAAAAGCAACAGGGCUUGGGCCCAGAAGACCCACAGGGCUGGAGAAACAUCGCUCAAAGGACUCGCUCACCCCGGGGGCCCAGUGCAGAAGCAGCCCUUGGAAAGUGCCCGACUUUCCGUGCUGGAGGCUCAUUCCUAGUUUUCAGGCCUCGGUCUCCAGGGCCCGGAGCUGGUGAGCGCCAUCUUCACGCUCUCCCUAGGCUCCAACUGUGGCCAGAGGGCAGCUGUGCAUGAAGAAACCGCACAGCGGCUUCUGACGUGAGCAAGGUGGCCAGGGGAGAAGAUUGCUAUUCUGCUAAUCUGAGGGCACACCCAGG